Molecule: ribosomal RNA, 253 nt
Filed under: uncultured bacterium
Lineage: Bacteria
Description: partial 16S ribosomal RNA
Rfam family: Bacterial small subunit ribosomal RNA
Source: RNAcentral
UACGUAGGUGACCAGCGUUGUCCGGAUUUACUGGGCGUAAAGGGCUCGUAGGCGGCCAACUAAGUCAGACGUGAAAUCCCUCGGCUUAACCGGGGAACUGCGUCUGAUACUGGAUGGCUUGAGUUCGGGAGAGGGAUGCGGAAUUCCAGGUGUAGCGGUGAAAUGCGUAGAUAUCUGGAGGAACACUGGUGGCGAAGGCGGCAUCCUGGACCGACACUGACGCUGAGGAGCGAAAGCCAGGGGAGCAAACGGG